GACACGGCCCAGACUCCUACGGGAGGCAGCAGUAGGGAAUCUUCCGCAAUGGACGAAAGUCUGACGGAGCAACGCCGCGUGAGUGAUGAAGGCUUUCGGGUCGUAAAACUCUGUUGUUAGGGAAGAAUAAGUACAAGAGUAACUGCUUGUACCUUGACGGUACCUAACCAGAAAGCCACGGCUAACUACGUGCCAGCAGCCGCGGUAAUACGUAGGUGGCAAGCGUUAUCCGGAAUUAUUGGGCGUAAAGCGCGC
Molecule: ribosomal RNA, 255 nt
Filed under: Priestia megaterium
Lineage: Bacteria; Bacillati; Bacillota; Bacilli; Caryophanales; Bacillaceae
Description: partial 16S ribosomal RNA
Rfam family: Bacterial small subunit ribosomal RNA
Source: RNAcentral